AAAAAAAUAAGCUAAAUAUAUAAGCUAAUGGGUUCAUACCUCAUUUAUGGAUAAACUAUCCUUUUUUUA
RNAcentral lists this transfer RNA (69 nucleotides) under Marmessoidea bispina. RNAcentral's name for it is "tRNA-Met". The record is from RNAcentral. Lineage: Eukaryota; Metazoa; Arthropoda; Insecta; Phasmatodea; Lonchodidae.